This 322-nucleotide ribosomal RNA is filed under the name uncultured eukaryote. RNAcentral describes it as "partial 18S ribosomal RNA". It matches the Rfam family "Eukaryotic small subunit ribosomal RNA", at positions 1470 to 1796 of the family's 1831-position model. The record is from RNAcentral.
CCCUUAGAUGUUCUGGGCCGCACGCGUGCUACACUGAGUGGAUCAGCGGGUCAGGUUGCGCGAAAGCGUUUCCUAAUCUUUAAAUCCGCUCGUGAUGGGGAUUGACGGUUGCAAUUUUCUGUCAUGAACGAGGAAUACCUUGUAAGCGCGGGUCAUCAUCCCGCGCUGAAUACGUCCCUGCCCUUUGUACACACCGCCCGUCGCUCCUACUGAUUGAGUGGUCCGGUGAGGCUUUGGGAUCUGAGCGGAAAGAGCGUUUCGCUGUUUCUGCUCGGAAAACUCAGUCGAACCUUAUCAUUUAGAGGAAGGAGAAGUCGUAACA